AGUGAACGCCGGCGGUAGGCCUAGCACAUGCAAGUCGAACGGCAGCACAGUAAGAGCUUGCUCUUACGGGUGGCGAGUGGCGGACGGGUGAGGAAUACAUCGGAAUCUACUUUUUCGUGGGGGAUAACGUAGGGAAACUUACGCUAAUACCGCAUACGACCUACGGGUGAAAGCAGGGGAUCUUCGGACCUUGCGCGAUUGAAUGAGCCGAUGUCGGAUUAGCUAGUUGGCGGGGUAAAGGCCCACCAAGGCGACGAUCCGUAGCUGGUCUGAGAGGAUGAUCAGCCACACUGGAACUGAGACACGGUCCAGACUCCUACGGGAGGCAGCAGUGGGGAAUAUUGGACAAUGGGCGCAAGCCUGAUCCAGCCAUACCGCGUGGGUGAAGAAGGCCUUCGGGUUGUAAAGCCCUUUUGUUGGGAAAGAAAAGCAGCAGGUUAAUACCCCGCUGUUCUGACGGUACCCAAAGAAUAAGCACCGGCUAACUUCGUG
This 492-nucleotide ribosomal RNA is filed under the name uncultured bacterium. RNAcentral's name for it is "partial 16S ribosomal RNA". It matches the Rfam family "Bacterial small subunit ribosomal RNA", at positions 29 to 507 of the family's 1533-position model. The record is from RNAcentral.